AAUAUAUAAAAUUUCAAAUGGUGGUUUAGGACCCCCCCCCUUCCCAACCCUCACCCUCCUAUUUCAGACAAAAAUAGCCCAACCGGGAAGGGUCUAGACUCUAUAGGUUCAUAUAUUUAGGAUUCAAACUAAAAAAACACUAGUAAAUAUAAAUAUAUAUAUGUUUAGCCAGCUUGCUGCGAAUUAAUUUGGAUGUUAUAGAAACAUUUACAGACAAAUCUACAACAUGUCAUCUUAUCAGACAUAACCAUUCGGAGGAGACAGUAGAUAAUUACUUUAGAAGUAAAGACGACAACAAUACUGCCUCAGGUAAGCCUACCAACACAGUCGAGCCGUUUAACUCUAUCAAUCUGAAGGAUCUCAGGUUCACCUGUCUCAGUCCGACCAAUAGUAGUAUCUUUCUCAAGGAAUACUUUGCUGACGAGUUCAAGAUGGAUAAAUAUAAACAUUAAACUUUAUGAUCUGAUGGGUGUUUAGCUCAACAGUCUGGAUGAAUGUUCAUAUUAAACAGUAUCACUCCCAGUCCCAUGUGCAGUGGUGUUUCACUGAACAGUUCAAUAAGGAUAAAUGUGUAUAUAUUAAACUUUAU
This is a long non-coding RNA of Eurytemora carolleeae, 589 nucleotides long. RefSeq lists it as uncharacterized. Lineage: Eukaryota; Metazoa; Arthropoda; Copepoda; Calanoida; Temoridae. The transcript has 3 exons. The record is from RefSeq and is a predicted model, not a curated record.